RNAcentral lists this unclassified non-coding RNA (323 nucleotides) under soil metagenome. Its description in RNAcentral is "partial contains 5.8S ribosomal RNA, internal transcribed spacer 2, and large subunit ribosomal RNA". The stretch from base 1 to 120 matches the Rfam family "5.8S ribosomal RNA", at positions 35 to 154 of the family's 154-position model. The record is from RNAcentral.
GAUGAAGAACGUAGCGAAAUGCGAUAAGUAAUGCGAAUUGUAGAAUUCAGUGAGUCAUCGAAUCUUUGAACGCACAUUGCGCCCUGUGGUAUUCCGCAGGGCAUGCCUGUUCGAGCGUCAUUUCAACCCUCAAGCUCUGCUUGGUGUUGGGCCACGCCCUCGCGGCCGGCCCCAAAGCCAGUGGCGGCGCCGUCCGGCUCUAAGCGUAGUACAUCUCUCGCUCUAGGGCCCGGCGGCUGCCUGCCAGAACCCCAAACUCUUAUGGUUGACCUCGGAUCAGGUAGGGAUACCCGCUGAACUUAAGCAUAUCAAUAAGCGGAGGA